This is a non-coding RNA of Caerostris darwini, 112 nucleotides long. The record is from the annotation of a GenBank genome assembly. NCBI's taxonomy places the organism in Eukaryota, Metazoa, Arthropoda, Arachnida, Araneae, Araneidae.
AACGGCCAUACCAUGCUGAAUAUACCGGUUCUCGUUAGAUCACCGAAGUCAAGCAUCAUUGGGCGAGGUCAGUACUUGGGUGGGUGACCACCUGGGAACACCGCGUGCCGUU